RNAcentral lists this ribosomal RNA (492 nucleotides) under uncultured bacterium. RNAcentral's name for it is "partial 16S ribosomal RNA". It matches the Rfam family "Bacterial small subunit ribosomal RNA", at positions 29 to 507 of the family's 1533-position model. The record is from RNAcentral.
AGUGAACGCUGGCGGUAGGCCUAACACAUGCAAGUCGAACGGCAGCACAGUAAGAGCUUGCUCUUACGGGUGGCGAGUGGCGGACGGGUGAGGAAUACAUCGGAAUCUACUUUUUCGUGGGGGAUAACGUAGGGAAACUUACGCUAAUACCGCAUACGACCUACGGGUGAAAGCAGGGGAUCUUCGGACCUUGCGCGAUUGAAUGAGUCGAUGUCGGAUUAGCUAGUUGGCGGGGUAAAGGCCCACCAAGGCGACGAUCUGUAGCUGGUCUGAGAGGAUGAUCAGCCACACUGGAACUGAGACACGGUCCAGACUCCUACGGGAGGCAGCAGUGGGGAAUAUUGGACAAUGGGCGCAAGCCUGAUCCAGCCAUACCGCGUGGGUGAAGAAGGCCUUCGGGUUGUAAAGCCCUUUUGUUGGGAAAGAAAAGCAGCAGGUUAAUACCCCGCUGUUCUGACGGUACCCAAAGAAUAAGCACCGGCUAACUUCGUG